CAAGGAAAAAGAGCUCAGCCUAGAAUCACCUGGAACUUAUCACAGUUGUCAAAAUAUCACAGUAUUGCCCCAAAUAUAACCAGUCCUGCAGACUCAAGAGUGCUGCUACUGCCUGGAAGAUGCACUGAGAGAAAUCCUGAGGAUUUUAUUACUGAUAUCUCUCAAGAGGAUGGAAGUUUCCAGCUCUGCCUGAAGCUCGAAUCAAAGUUUUAGAGGCAGCUGCCACUUCCAGCAGGUUACUAGAUAGAGGAAGGAAGUUAAUCAUCUCUCAUUAACUGGUUACAAUAAGUAACAGAGCAGCCAGAGAUAUUUUUAACGGGACAAAAGCAGCUUAUUUUGCACACAGCUUAACGAACAUCAUGAACAAAAUCUCCGGGAAAGGCAGAGAUCCAUCAGGAUUUGAGGAGGGUGAAGCACUGAGCUGGGAGCUCCAGCAAGGAGGGACAACCCUGGUGCUGAGUGAAUAAAGAGUGAGCACAGCCCUGUUCUGUCAGAUACCAGGAGAGCCUGAAUGUGCACAAAGCAGCUGAAGGGAGAUGACAAGAAAGAUGGAGAUGAACUUUUUACAAGGGCGUGAAGUGACAGGACAACGGAGAAUGGCUUCAAACUGACA
Molecule: long non-coding RNA, 613 nt
Filed under: Ficedula albicollis (Collared flycatcher)
Lineage: Eukaryota; Metazoa; Chordata; Aves; Passeriformes; Muscicapidae
Description: lncRNA (ENSFALG00000023322.1)
Source: RNAcentral